GCUUCCGUGGCUCAGUUGGUUAGAGCGCAGGUCUCAUAUCAACGUGAUAUGAAGGUCACGUACCUACAAUCCUGAGGUCAUGAGUUCGAUCCUCAUCGGGAGCA
Fomitopsis serialis is the source of this 104-nucleotide non-coding RNA. NCBI's taxonomy places the organism in Eukaryota, Fungi, Basidiomycota, Agaricomycetes, Polyporales, Fomitopsidaceae. The record is from the annotation of a RefSeq genome assembly.